GCGCUGCAUUAGCUAGUUGGUAAGGUAACGGCUUACCAAGGCAACGAUGCAUAGCCGACCUGAGAGGGUGAUCGGCCACACUGGAACUGAGACACGGUCCAGACUCCUACGGGAGGCAGCAGUAGGGAAUCUUCCGCAAUGGGCGAAAGCCUGACGGAGCAACGCCGCGUGAGUGAUGAAGGUCUUCGGAUCGUAAAACUCUGUUAUUAGGGAAGAACAUAUGUGUAAGUAACUGUGCACAUCUUGACGGUACCUAAUCAGAAAGCCACGGCUAACUACGUGCCAGCAGCCGCGGUAAUACGUAGGUGGCAAGCGUUAUCCGGAAUUAUUGGGCGUAAAGCGCGCGUAGGCGGUUUUUUAAGUCUGA
This 367-nucleotide ribosomal RNA is filed under the name Staphylococcus aureus. RNAcentral describes it as "bacterial SSU rRNA". It matches the Rfam family "Bacterial small subunit ribosomal RNA", at positions 233 to 592 of the family's 1533-position model. Lineage: Bacteria; Bacillati; Bacillota; Bacilli; Caryophanales; Staphylococcaceae. The record is from RNAcentral.